Molecule: ribosomal RNA, 254 nt
Filed under: uncultured bacterium
Lineage: Bacteria
Description: partial 16S ribosomal RNA
Rfam family: Bacterial small subunit ribosomal RNA
Source: RNAcentral
UACGGGGGGAGCAAGCGUUGUUCGGAUUUACUGGGCGUAAAGGGCGCGUAGGCGGUCGUGACAAGUCACUUGUGAAAUCUCCGGGCUUAACUCGGAGCGGUCAAGUGAUACUGUUGUGCUAGAGUGCGGAAGGGGCUACUGGAAUUCUCGGUGUAGCGGUGAAAUGCGUAGAUAUCGAGAGGAACACCUGCGGCGAAGGCGGGUAGCUGGGCCGACACUGACGCUGAUGCGCGAAAGCCAGGGGAGCGAACGGG